GUGGGGAAUCUUGCGCAAUGGGCGAAAGCCUGACGCAGCCAUGCCGCGUGAAUGAUGAAGGUCUUAGGAUUGUAAAAUUCUUUCACCGGGGACGAUAAUGACGGUACCCGGAGAAGAAGCCCCGGCUAACUUCGUGCCAGCAGCCGCGGUAAUACGAAGGGGGCUAGCGUUGCUCGGAAUUACUGGGCGUAAAGGGCGCGUAGGCGGACAGUUUAGUCAGAGGUGAAAGCCCAGGGCUCAACCUUGGAAUUGCCUUUGAUACUGGCUGUCUUGAGUUUGGGAGAGGUGAGUGGAACUCCGAGUGUAGAGGUGAAAUUCGUAGAUAUUCGGAAGAACACCAGUGGCGAAGGCGACUCACUGGCCCAAUACUGACGCUGAGGCGCGAAAGCGCGGGGAGCAAACAGGAUUAGAAACCCCUGUAGUCC
Molecule: ribosomal RNA, 425 nt
Filed under: uncultured bacterium
Lineage: Bacteria
Description: partial 16S ribosomal RNA
Rfam family: Bacterial small subunit ribosomal RNA
Source: RNAcentral